Molecule: ribosomal RNA, 427 nt
Filed under: Pseudomonas sp.
Lineage: Bacteria; Pseudomonadati; Pseudomonadota; Gammaproteobacteria; Pseudomonadales; Pseudomonadaceae
Also listed under: 4 other names
Description: partial 16S ribosomal RNA
Rfam family: Bacterial small subunit ribosomal RNA
Source: RNAcentral
UGGGGAAUAUUGGACAAUGGGCGAAAGCCUGAUCCAGCCAUGCCGCGUGUGUGAAGAAGGUCUUCGGAUUGUAAAGCACUUUAAGUUGGGAGGAAGGGCAGUUACCUAAUACGUAAUUGUUUUGACGUUACCGACAGAAUAAGCACCGGCUAACUCUGUGCCAGCAGCCGCGGUAAUACAGAGGGUGCAAGCGUUAAUCGGAAUUACUGGGCGUAAAGCGCGCGUAGGUGGUUUGUUAAGUUGAAUGUGAAAUCCCCGGGCUCAACCUGGGAACUGCAUCCAAAACUGGCAAGCUAGAGUAUGGUAGAGGGUGGUGGAAUUUCCUGUGUAGCGGUGAAAUGCGUAGAUAUAGGAAGGAACACCAGUGGCGAAGGCGACCACCUGGACUGAUACUGACACUGAGGUGCGAAAGCGUGGGGAGCAAACA